UGGGGAAUUUUGGACAAUGGGCGAAAGCCUGAUCCAGCAAUGCCGCGUGUGUGAAGAAGGCCUUCGGGUUGUAAAGCACUUUUGUCCGGAAAGAAAUCCUUGGCUCUAAUACAGUCGGGGGAUGACGGUACCGGAAGAAUAAGCACCGGCUAACUACGUGCCAGCAGCCGCGGUAAUACGUAGGGUGCAAGCGUUAAUCGGAAUUACUGGGCGUAAAGCGUGCGCAGGCGGUUUGCUAAGACCGAUGUGAAAUCCCCGGGCUCAACCUGGGAACUGCAUUGGUGACUGGCAGGCUAGAGUAUGGCAGAGGGGGGUAGAAUUCCACGUGUAGCAGUGAAAUGCGUAGAGAUGUGGAGGAAUACCGAUGGCGAAGGCAGCCCCCUGGGCCAAUACUGACGCUCAUGCACGAAAGCGUGGGGGAGCAAACAGGAUUAGAUACCCUGGUAGUCCACGCCCUAAACGAUGUCAACUAGUUGUUGGGGAUUCAUUUCCUUAGUAACGUAGCUAACGCGUGAAGUUGACCGCCUGGGGAGUAC
Molecule: ribosomal RNA, 536 nt
Filed under: uncultured bacterium
Lineage: Bacteria
Description: partial 16S ribosomal RNA
Rfam family: Bacterial small subunit ribosomal RNA
Source: RNAcentral